This 1184-nucleotide long non-coding RNA is filed under the name Cyanistes caeruleus (blue tit). RNAcentral's name for it is "lncRNA (ENSCCEG00000017453.1)". The record is from RNAcentral. Lineage: Eukaryota; Metazoa; Chordata; Aves; Passeriformes; Paridae.
UGCAUGGAAAUAAGUGUUUAUACUCUGUGUAUGUGAAGGCAUCCAUAUGUACAAAUUUUUCAAACCUCUCCAAUGCUUCAGCUCUUAUACAGAUUUUUAAGAAAGACUUUUUUCUGGCUCUAACUAGCAGGAUGAAAAUUUAGUAAAACUAACCUUCAAAGUCACUUUCAAUUGAAAAAAAAAAACCAAACCUGAAAUACAUAAGAAGCCUAUUCAUCUUCAUCAGUUGUUGACACCAUCAUCAUUUGUCUCAUGGAAAAAAUAAUCCAGAGGAGAAUACAUAUACUCUGGAAAGAGGUGGUGUGUUGUGAGGUUUUUUUGUUAUACCAUGAAUACUAAUGAAGCAAAAGCAGUUCAGUUCUUUAUAAAAUCUAUUUCCAUUCACAUUCACCAAUGAGCUCCUAGACUACCUAUAAAGGUUUCAUUUAUUCUAUCACAUUGGAAGCCUCAGAAAACUAAUUGUUUAUUCAAGUCUAUCUGCUCCAUCCAUGCUCAAUUAGGUCUCACUUUUCCCUCAGUUAUAGCAAAAUUAAAAAUAAAAAUGCAGACUGAAAACAUUCUGGGUUCCACCAGUUCCCUGUGACAAACCACUCUGAAAAACCAUCGUUUCAAGCACAGCAAGAGCUUUUUGACCAUAAUGCAGCAUCUGAGGGACCUUCUCAACAGCUUAAAAAAUUCCUACUCAUUAACUUACUCCUCUGACUAAUGAAAAACACAUUUGAUAUGCAGCUUUCUGGUAAGAAUUGUGUUAAGAACUAAUAAGCAACGUUAAGUAUAACCAGGCAUUCCAGCCACAGCAAUUCACAAGUACCUCAUAAAAAUGGGUGAUAUAAUCUUCACAAUUAAGAUUCUGGAAAUGUUCAGGAACAGACUGCUGAAAGAUAUCCUGAGAUGUUCAACAUGUGAGGCUGCAGUCUCUGCCAGCCAACAGAUGGAUGUGUGUCCUCACAACAGCAGUAUGUGUAGUUAGCAUCACUACGAAGAGAAUAGUCCUCUAAGACAGCCAACAGUCCAAUCACAAAAAUGCCUAGAUGAAAUGUGUUGAUGUUGGCAGAAAAAUCCUGAAUUGCCUGAUCAGCAGAAUGCCUGCAUUAAAUUCAGCACCAUAACCUUUCUUAAACUCAGAGCUUAAGGUCUUAAGACUGUCUCAGUCAAUAAAAAAUCUCCUCUGCCUCUAAAAGACA